GCUGAUGAUGAUAUAAUCCAACUUGUUUGAAGUGUUGUGGAGCCAAGCCCCUGUCUUCAGGGAGAACCUACUUGGUAAAGCUACAUUCAUAUGACAUCUAUGGAUUUAACUGAGGC
Molecule: non-coding RNA, 116 nt
Organism: Cicer arietinum (chickpea)
Lineage: Eukaryota; Viridiplantae; Streptophyta; Magnoliopsida; Fabales; Fabaceae
Source: Rfam